Molecule: ribosomal RNA, 500 nt
Filed under: uncultured bacterium
Lineage: Bacteria
Description: partial 16S ribosomal RNA
Rfam family: Bacterial small subunit ribosomal RNA
Source: RNAcentral
AUUGAACGCUGGCGGAAUGCUUUACACAUGCAAGUCGAACGGCAGCACGGGGGCAACCCUGGUGGCGAGUGGCGAACGGGUGAGUAAUACAUCGGAACGUGCCCAGUCGUGGGGGAUAACGUAGCGAAAGUUACGCUAAUACCGCAUACGAUCUACGGAUGAAAGCGGGGGACCGUAAGGCCUCGCGCGAUUGGAGCGGCCGAUGUCAGAUUAGGUAGUUGGUGAGGUAAAGGCUCACCAAGCCGACGAUCUGUAGCUGGUCUGAGAGGACGACCAGCCACACUGGGACUGAGACACGGCCCAGACUCCUACGGGAGGCAGCAGUGGGGAAUUUUGGACAAUGGGCGCAAGCCUGAUCCAGCCAUUCCGCGUGCAGGACGAAGGCCUUCGGGUUGUAAACUGCUUUUGUACGGAACGAAAAGGCUCUGGUUAAUACCUGGGGCUCAUGACGGUACCGUAAGAAUAAGCACCGGCUAACUACGUGCCAGCCGCCGCAGUAA